This is a non-coding RNA of Phodopus roborovskii (desert hamster), 593 nucleotides long. The record is from the annotation of a RefSeq genome assembly. NCBI's taxonomy places the organism in Eukaryota, Metazoa, Chordata, Mammalia, Rodentia, Cricetidae.
AAGUCUUCACCAUGGGAUGGAGCUGGAUCAUCCUCUUCCUGGUGGCAGCAGCUACAGGUGUCCACUCUCAGGUCAAGCUGGAGCAGUCUGGGGCUGAGCUGGUGAAGCCUGGGUCCUCAGUGAAGCUCUCCUGCAAGGCUUCAGGAUAUAGCUUCACUAGCUACAAUAUGCACUGGGUGAAGCAGAAGCCUGGACAGGGCAUGGAAUGGAUUGGGUAUAUUUAUCCUGGAAAUGGUAAUACUAAGUACAAUCAGAAGUUCAAGGGCAAGGCCACACUGACUGCAGACACAUCCUCCAGCACAGCCUACAUGGAGCUCAGCAGCCUGACAUCUGAGGACACUGCAGUCUAUUACUGUGCAAAAGACACAGUGUUGUGUCUUGUCCCAGAUCCAGCUUCAGGGAUCAGGACCUGGCCUGAUGAAGCCCUCACAAUUGCUGACCCUGACUUGGUCUGUCACUGGUUCCCAGGAAAGAUGCUGGAGUGGAUGAGGCACAUAAAUAAUGAUGGUGGCACUAACUACAACCCAUCCCUCAAGAGCCGCAUCUCCAUCACCAGAGAAACAUCCAAGAACCAGUUCUUUUUGCAGCUGUAA